Molecule: long non-coding RNA, 622 nt
Organism: Pieris napi
Lineage: Eukaryota; Metazoa; Arthropoda; Insecta; Lepidoptera; Pieridae
Exons: 2
Source: RefSeq, a predicted model, not a curated record
ACCGGUCUUACUAAUAAAAAAUCACUAUACAUGCGUUAUGACAAGGUGAUAGUAAUUCAGUGAAUAGAGCUUGUACAGGGCAUAAACUCCUCUUUGACCAAUAAUCGAUGUGUAUUGGUUGAAUAACAAAACGACCCUUAUUUAUUGUUACCCUGGCAACCCGCCGUGUUUGAUUGACGUUUGAUUUAAUAAUUUUGAUACGACUCAUAAUUCUAAUGUAAGUUGUAUUUAUUUUAUCAACCAAAGCAAUUAUAUACACAUUUACUCAAUAUACUAAUAACAUUUUAUUAUUUGCAGCUAAUAGAAACUCCAAAACCUCAGACAAAGAGGACUAGAAUUUUACAUAAAAAGCCGCGUUCUGCAGUACAAAAGUUAGAAGAGGCAUCUCAAAUAGUGGAAAGUGCCAAACUCCGCAACACGGUAGUGUUCCAGUGUUUCCAGGAAGAGCACGAAACAAAACAAAGGCAGAUGGCUGAAACACAUGAGCUCAAACAGAAGCGACUCGCCGAAGCUCACGAAAGGGCUAGACAGAAGCAUCUUCUAAGGCUCAAAUUGUUACAGCAGCAAUUAAAUAAAUAAUUAUAUACUUAUAAAAAAAAUAAAACCCCCGUUUUAAAUGAAA